UACAGAGGAGCCAAGCGUUGUCCGGAUUGACUGGGCGUAAAGCGCACGCAGGCGGUCUGGCGCGUGGGGUGUGAAAUCUGGCCGCUUAACGGCCAGGCGCCAUCCCAUACGGCCGGACUGGAGCCUUGCAGAGGUCGGUGGAAUUGCCGGUGUAGUGGUGAAAUUCGUAGAUAUUGGGAAGAACACCGGUGGCGAAGGCGGCGACCUGGUCCUUGACUGACGCUGAGGCGCGAAAGCGUGGGGAGCAAACAGG
Molecule: ribosomal RNA, 253 nt
Filed under: uncultured bacterium
Lineage: Bacteria
Description: partial 16S ribosomal RNA
Rfam family: Bacterial small subunit ribosomal RNA
Source: RNAcentral